AUCGCUUCUUGGCCUUUUGGCUAAGAUCAAGUGUAAACUCUCUUCCUUCUGUUCUCUAUUUGAGGAUCUCAGAAUUUACUGUAUAUUAGCCUGUUCUUAAGUUAACAUGCUCUUUUCAGUCUUGGGCAGUACUUAUUUGUAUCGUGUCAGGACAUGAUUCCUAGGAGGUUUUGUUUUUGAAGUUAAAACACUAACCUACUUCUU
This is a small nuclear RNA of Heterocephalus glaber (naked mole-rat), 204 nucleotides long. Its record names the gene U2. It matches the Rfam family "U2 spliceosomal RNA". Rfam says of the family: U2 is a small nuclear RNA (snRNA) component of the spliceosome (involved in pre-mRNA splicing). Complementary binding between U2 snRNA (in an area lying towards the 5' end but 3' to hairpin I) and the branchpoint sequence (BPS) of the intron results the bulging out of an unpaired adenosine, on the BPS, which initiates a nucleophilic attack at the intronic 5' splice site, thus starting the first of two transesterification reactions that mediate splicing. Lineage: Eukaryota; Metazoa; Chordata; Mammalia; Rodentia; Bathyergidae. The record is from Ensembl.